GAUGAACGCUGGCGGCGUGCCUAAUACAUGCAAGUCGAGCGAACGGACGAGAAGCUUGCUUCUCUGAUGUUAGCGGCGGACGGGUGAGUAACACGUGGAUAACCUACCUAUAAGACUGGGAUAACUUCGGGAAACCGGAGCUAAUACCGGAUAAUAUUUUGAACCGCAUGGUUCAAAAGUGAAAGACGGUCUUGCUGUCACUUAUAGAUGGAUCCGCGCUGCAUUAGCUAGUUGGUAAGGUAACGGCUUACCAAGGCAACGAUGCAUAGCCGACCUGAGAGGGUGUUCGGCCACACUGGACCUGAGCCACGGUCCAGCCCCCUACGGGAGGCAGCAGUGGGAAUCUUCCGCAAUGGGCGGAAGCCUGGCGGAGCAACGCCGCGUGAGUUAUGAAGGUCUUCCGAUCGUAAAACUCUGUUAUUAGGGAAGAACAUAUUUGUAAGUAACUGUUCACAUCUUGACGGUACCUAAUCAGAAAGGCACGGCUAACUUCGUG
RNAcentral lists this ribosomal RNA (496 nucleotides) under uncultured bacterium. RNAcentral describes it as "partial 16S ribosomal RNA". It matches the Rfam family "Bacterial small subunit ribosomal RNA", at positions 28 to 507 of the family's 1533-position model. The record is from RNAcentral.